Molecule: ribosomal RNA, 497 nt
Filed under: uncultured bacterium
Lineage: Bacteria
Description: partial 16S ribosomal RNA
Rfam family: Bacterial small subunit ribosomal RNA
Source: RNAcentral
GAUGAACGCUGGCGGCGUGCCUAAUACAUGCAAGUCGAGCGAACGGACGAGAAGCUUGCUUCUCUGAUGUUAGCGGCGGACGGGUGAGUAACACGUGGAUAACCUACCUAUAUGACUGGGAUAACUUCGGGAAACCGUAGCUAAUACCGGAUAAUAUUUUGAACCGCAUGGUUCAAAAGUGAAAGACGGUCUUGCUGUCACUUAUAGAUGGAUCCGCGCUGCAUUAGCUAGUUGGUAAGGUAACGGCUUACCAAGGCAACGAUGCAUAGCCGACCUGAGAGGGUGAUAGGCCACACUGGAAGUGAGACACGGACCAGAGUCCUACGGGAGGCAGCAGUAGGCAAUCGUCCGCAGAAGGCGAGAACCUGGCGGAGCGGCGCCGCGUGAGAGAUGAAAGUCUUCGGAUCGUAAAACUCUGUUAUUAGGGAAGAACAUAUGUGUACGUAACUGUGCACAUAUUGACGGUACCUGGUCAAAAAGCCGCGGCUAACUACGUG